This is a non-coding RNA of Zonotrichia albicollis (white-throated sparrow), 588 nucleotides long. The record is from RefSeq and is a predicted model, not a curated record. NCBI's taxonomy places the organism in Eukaryota, Metazoa, Chordata, Aves, Passeriformes, Passerellidae.
GACAUCAGUGUGUCUGGGUGUAGGCUAAGUAAUGAAAAUAAGGUAUGCUUUUUGCUCUCCUGUCCUUUCUUUGCAAAGUGAAGAGGGAAGGACAGAGAAGAGGGAAUGUGAUUGUCUCUUCUGUUCAGGCAUGGAUUUGCUGAGCAUGGAGGAGGAAAGGAGUUCCAGAAUCUGGUCUCAAAUACUGGAUUACGGAUUCUUUGUUUAUGUACCAGGAGAGGGAGAGAAAUGAGAGGAAAAACCCUUCUUCAGGACAAUGAAUUAGGAGGCAAGCUGAUGCAAAGACCAUGGCAUUCCAAGAAGGUGAUUUACUUCAUCCCAAAACAGUCUCCUGAUACUGAUGAAGAAAAAUCACUCUCCCGCUUGGUUUGAUUCCGGAUAGGAUGAGGGAGCACCAGCACAUCAAGAUCCUCCAGAGGACAGUUCACAACUCUGACAGGCUUAAUCACAUUUUAGGCAUUUUUUCCCUCUUUUUCUGUCUUCAUGAACGAAAGAAGAGUCCCCAAACAUUUAUGCUGUUAGCAUAGGUGCUUCAGGCUUUUACUAUACAUUCUGAAAAUUUCUGUUUUGCACCUUCAAAUUAUGGUU